This 83-nucleotide transfer RNA is filed under the name bacterium ADurb.Bin270. RNAcentral's name for it is "tRNA-Leu". It matches the Rfam family "tRNA". Rfam says of the family: Transfer RNA (tRNA) molecules are approximately 80 nucleotides in length. The record is from RNAcentral.
GCCCAGGUGGUGGAACUGGCAGACACGCACGUUUGAGGGGCGUGUGGCGCAAGCCAUGCGGGUUCGAGUCCCGCCCUGGGCAC